This 494-nucleotide ribosomal RNA is filed under the name uncultured bacterium. Its description in RNAcentral is "partial 16S ribosomal RNA". It matches the Rfam family "Bacterial small subunit ribosomal RNA", at positions 28 to 507 of the family's 1533-position model. The record is from RNAcentral.
GACGAACGCUGGCGGCGUGCUUAACACAUGCAAGUCGAACGGAAAGGCCUGCUUUCCCUUGUGGAUUGCGGGUACUCGAGUGGCGAACGGGUGAGUAACACGUGAGUGAUCUGCCCCCAACUUGGGUAUAAGCCUGGGAAACUGGGUCUAAUUCCCGAUAGGACUGCAGGGUGGUGCCUGUGGUGGAAAACGAUUUUCUAGUGGUUGGGGAUGAGCUCGCGGCCUAUCAGCUUGUUGGUGGGGUAAUGGCCUACCAAGGCGGCGACGGGUAGCCGGCCUGGGGGGGUGGGCCGGCACAGGGGGACUGAGACACGGGGCAGGAGCCUACGGCAGGCAGCAGUGGGGAAUAAUGAACAAUGGGCGGAGGCCUGAUGCAGCGACGCCGCGUGGGGGAUGACGGGCGUCGGGUUGUAAACUCCUGUCGGCCGCGAGGAAGCCACCUGGUUGGAAGGGUGGUGACGGUAGUGGUAGAAGAAGCACCGGCUAACUACGUG